Molecule: ribosomal RNA, 253 nt
Filed under: uncultured bacterium
Lineage: Bacteria
Description: partial 16S ribosomal RNA
Rfam family: Bacterial small subunit ribosomal RNA
Source: RNAcentral
CACGUAGGGGACGAGCGUUGUCCGGAUUCAUUGGGCGUAAAGCGCGCGUAGGCGGCUCGGAAAGUCGGUCGUGAAAUGCCGGGGCUCAACCCCGGGACUGCGUCCGAUACUCCCGAGCUGGAGGCAGGUAGGGGAGAUCGGAAUUCCUGGUGUAGCGGUGAAAUGCGCAGAUAUCAGGAGGAACACCGGUGGCGAAGGCGGAUCUCUGGGCCUUGCCUGACGCUGAGACGCGAAAGCGUGGGGAGCGAACAGG